Poecilia latipinna (sailfin molly) is the source of this 481-nucleotide long non-coding RNA. RefSeq lists it as uncharacterized. The transcript is spliced from 3 exons. Lineage: Eukaryota; Metazoa; Chordata; Actinopteri; Cyprinodontiformes; Poeciliidae. The record is from RefSeq and is a predicted model, not a curated record.
AUUUGUCCAGUGUAAAAGUGGCAGAAGAUUUAAUAUUCAUACAACAGCAUUCAGUAGGAUAGUUCUGAGACUACCGUUUAAAGAUAGUAGACCUGUUCUUUGUUUUUGGACCCUCUCAGAUUUUGCUGUUAGCAUUAGCGUCCAGGACCAAUCUGGAUUUUUACUACACUAAGAAGACACCAGGAGAGUUAUCUACUACAGAAAACAGCUCCCUUUGAAGAAGAAACAGGAGCUGGCAAGACGCUGCCUCCUUUCUCUCCAAGACGCUCUGAAGACAGGCAAAACCAUAUCUUAAAGAAAGAAAAUAUGUGAACUCAGAUGCAGGUUUGUAAGGCCUGAACAGGUUAGUACUUUUCCUCUUAUAAUAUCUUGUUUCUUAGUCUUGUGUUUCUUAACUUUAGUUUUAAAUAAUGUUUUAAAUUUAAAUACAUCAUACUGCUUUUGUCAGUCCUUGACUGAACAGAUACACACUAUGAGCCUU